AUACUUACCUGUCAGGGAAGAUACCAUGAUCAUGAAGGUGGUUUCCCCAGGGUGAGGCUCACCCAUUGCACUCCAGGUGUGCUGACCCCUGCAAAAAUUAAAAAAAAAAAAAGAAAUUAUUGAAAACAAAAAUACAAUAGUUGUCAGAUUAAGUUUUUUGUUAC
Molecule: small nuclear RNA, 164 nt
Organism: Suncus etruscus (white-toothed pygmy shrew)
Lineage: Eukaryota; Metazoa; Chordata; Mammalia; Eulipotyphla; Soricidae
Product: U1 spliceosomal RNA
Exons: 1
Source: RefSeq, a predicted model, not a curated record